Molecule: long non-coding RNA, 6027 nt
Organism: Myzus persicae (green peach aphid)
Lineage: Eukaryota; Metazoa; Arthropoda; Insecta; Hemiptera; Aphididae
Exons: 3
Source: RefSeq, a predicted model, not a curated record
UCAUAACUUUUUCAGUGAAACACGUAUAGUGGUCACUAUAAAUACAUUUGCCUGAUGGCGUUAUGUUACUAUACUUAUUAUAAUAUGGAUACUAAUUUAUGGAGAGUUACAUUAUACAUGAAUCCUCGAAAGGAUUUGUUGAGACAUUUACAUUUUCAGAGAUAAGACCGGGUAAUGGCUGAAUAAUUUUAGCAUAUUUUUCAUAUAAUUAUUUUGAUAAAACGUCAAGCCAGGUAUAAAACAUAUGAUUAAUCUCAAAUUUUGUUUUGCGUUGUUAAGAAGCGAAAUUCGAAAUAAUUCAAUGCUAAUUUUUAAAUCUCACAGGUAUCACUUUUUCAGUUACCUUUUUAACUGUUUUAUUUUAUUUUUUUGUUUUAUCGUCACAAGCCAAGACAAAUAUAUUACACUAGGCUAUAGGUGUAUUUUCAGUGUGACUGUAACGCAAACAAUAAUAAUAAUUGUUCAGAUAAUCACUUCGUAUUAACACGCGACCAGCUAUGUUUUUACUGCAUUGCAUGCACACACCACGGGAACAAAAAAAAAAAACAAAUAAAAAAAAAAUUAUGGUCGUUGCUGGUCAUUAUUCUGUGCAAUCGUGCUACUGUCUCUAGUCUAAACGCUCUUCAAGUCGUUUCCCGGAUGGCGUCCAAAAAACCGCGACGUCGCAUCAGCGUAUUAUUAUCAUACACCUAUUAUAUGUGACGUAAACACAGUCGUCAUACUGGGGCCGGGGGUUCUAAUACACUACCAUCGUUACUAUUACGAUGGGCACUAGUAUAAUAAUAAAAUGGAAUAAAAAAAAUUUUAUGUCGACUACGCGUAUAAUACUACCACAACGGACGACGUACACUAUAAAACUGGUUUCAUUCGCCUAAUUAUAUUCUGCCUGCCGCAACAAUAUUAAUGCGAGUACGACUGUGCGUAUAUUAUAUAGGUAUAAUAUGGACGACGACGUGUGCGCGUUGCUCGCCGAAUGGCAAAAUGGUGAAUAAACAAACAAACAAACAAACAGACAGACAAACCGACGGACGAAACAACCGUUACCGGCAACACCUUGACCCACAAGAAUAAAAUGUAAAACGUUUCCUCUGUACUUCGUACGACGUGCUUAAUUGACGUAAAAACACACACAAAUAUAGUCACGCACACAAGCACACACACAUACGGUGUUAUGAUGGGAUUGGUUUCUGUUCGCACGGGCAACGGAAACGAAAAAAACAAUUUAAAUUUUGUGACUUUUCGCGCGCGGACUGAUUCAAGUGCAACUAACCCCCGCGCCCACUCCUACACGUUGCACGCCCGACUAAAUGUUGUACACGACAGUGGGACAUAAUAUCAUCGGCACAGUGUAUUACGGCCAUUGUUGUGGGAAGAAAUUAUAUCUAAAUCUUUAUCGGGAUAAGGAUAGGUAAACAAUCAUUAAUAUAAUAAAUUAAUAACAUAUAGACGGUUAUCCAGAUAUAAAGAUAAAUUAAGUACGACGAAUUAAAAAGUAUAAAACGAUAAAAGAUAAUUAUUUUGUUUUUAACUAAAGCGUGUAGAUCGCAAAUAAAGAUCAAUAAUUAUAGGCGUUUGUUGAACUACAUGAUAUACCAUUGUAUCUAUAAAUUACAUUAGCGAAAAAGAAUGUCAUGCAUCACACAAAAAUGGGACUCUCUGGCUCUGGCCUGAUUAUUAUAGUAUAUAAUAUAUUAUUAUAAUGCAUAAUAUAUAGGAUGGUUCAUCGAGCAUGCGAACUCAAAUUUUUGCAUUGAUGAUGAAUUUAUUAUUUACUGUGUUAUAUUAAAAAUUUCACUUUUCGAUAUCUCUGCGCCUCGCCGUGUUAACGAUUAUUAUUGUAAUAUUGGUCGCCGACGCGUAUCACGCAUAAUAUUAUUAUCAUAGGUACGGUCGUACGGAGCUGCGCAGCAAUGAUAUCGCGUACCCGGAUCUAGCUGACAGCUUUUUUUUUUAUUAACCCUUUGGGUGAUCGGUGACGGCGGAGCAGGUUUCACUUUCUUAUCGGCAUACAAUAAUAGUCAUAUAUUGGUGUAUAUAUAUACAUAAUACGAUAAUACACGUGAUACCGCCGAUACCGGUUUGAAAUUCGCCCGUGCGAGUAUAUAACACAACUGGACACUCUGACAGCGGAGAAACAAACGAGACGCGGCGCUAUGGUAAUGUACGUGUGGUAUGAACGUAUAAUAAUACAUGUGUGGGAAUAUAUUAUUAUCAUAUCAUAAGGCGUAUGCGCUAUGGUAUAAAGACGGCCCUAUUAAAAUUUAUAAUAUUAUAAUGUAUGUACGUUUCGAUCAUAACGCACCGAGCUCGAAACACAAGCAAGCGCUAUAAUACUUUAGUGGUUAAUAUUUUAUUCCGUUCGCGGAUUGCAUCGUGGGCAGGGGUGGUCUCUUCAAGACAUCGUGGGCGCAAGUGCGCUUUUCGAAACGACAUCGCUCACGCCGCGGGUGCAGAAGGGAGAACAUCAUCACCAUUAUUAUUAUUAUUAUUAUUAUUAUUAUUAUAAGAUUCGAGGCUGUCAGCUGCGUAUAAUAAUAAUAUCAUUAGGAUAAAGUGGGUAGGUAGUUGUGUUGUAUAGGUAAAGGUUAGGGCGCGAGAGGGAUCAUCGUCGUGUCGGAGACGAACGUUUUCCGCUGCUCGCUGUGGUUUGUAUCGAUUGCCUCACGAACCGGGGUUGACGAAUCUCGUCAUAAUCUCGGCACAUCAAUAAAAUAUUAUACAGUGCGAGGUCGAUCGACUCGUUUCGUUGCAGACACACACGAACGAUAAGUUAUUAUUAAUACCUAUAAUUUUAAGAACACGGCGCACCGUGGUUAGCGUAUACGCGGAUAUACGAUUCGAGAGACACGAACUCCGUUUUCGGUCCCGACGAUUUUCCGAUAAUAUUUUUUCCAUCAUUAAAUCAUAUCUAUAUAAUUGCUAAAUCCAUCCGGUCGUGCCAUAGUACAUUAUUAAUCCUUACGGUCGGCAAGACGCCAAAACGUCACUGACAGGGUCCCGCUAUAGAAACUACCAGUCGUCCGAGAGGCUUAUUACGUCUAUUUAAUUUGGUCGUACAACUAUAUGUUGUGGAAAACUUACGCGAUGACUUUUAUUUUCGAAAUCGAUUCUGACGCUUUUCCCAACCACAACCAGACGAGUCGGCGAAUUCGGUCCGACACCGUGUACAAAAAUACUAUAAUGUAAUAUUUAGGUACAGUUAUUGUCAUUACAAUAUUUUAACGAAUAUACUAAUUCUAUUUUAUACGAUGGCAGUUCGCAUAUAUACUAUUAUUAUAUAUUUCAGUACACAUAUAUAUAUAUAAGUGUCCCCGCGGUCGAGUACCAUGAUAUACGUAUAUUUAUAUACGACGAAUCAAUUUCCAGCGGUCCGCUGAACCCAGUAAUGACCGACGAGGUUAUAAUAUGACAUAAUAUUGCGUUGUACACAAUAGAAACAUAUUUUAUACUAUUUCGUCGAGUGCGUGACACGAGUAUUUCGUUUCAAACAAGUCGUCUGUAGUGGCCUAUACGAUAUCACGUGUAUUAUGAUUAUCGUACACCAUGUUGUAUUAUUUGAUUCAAAAUUAUGCAUAAAAUAAGCGAUCGAUCGGCACUGUUUUUAAUUAUUGUGAGCUAUAAUAAUGAAUAAUUUAAGUACAGAAAUAUCUAAAUUACAGGUAGGUAAACUGUUAAGUUGUGUAAAGUGCACUGCAGGCUAUUCUGUGCACCCACUUGCUUAUGAGAAUAAUAAUUUUUCAGAAAUUCAAAUAAAAAUAAUAGGUAAUCAAUAAGUCAUUUAAACAGGCAAUUAAAACAUAAAUAUUUUAUACUCUAAUGCAAACAACAAACAAGAUAAACUUUUUUUGCGAGUUGGACAUUUAAAAAAAAAAUUGAACAGAAUAUGGUCCGCAUAAUAUAUGUAUGUGAUCUGUUGAUUAUUAUUGACUUCAGUGAUAAUAAUAGAUUUAAUUUAAAUAUUUUAUGUUUGGCUGCAAUUUCACCCAAGAUUAGUCAUUAAGAUAUUAGUAUAAUAUUUCGCCAAGAAUUUCUUCAAAUCGUUUAUUCCUCUGAUGUUUUUGCAGUAUACCAUAUAAUUAUUAUACUUUCUUACUGGAUAAUUCGUUGGACCUAUAUUAUUCAGUGUAAACCAUUUUUUUUUUUUUUUAAUAACAAUCUGAGAUACGGCGCAAUAAUCACUGUGUUUAUUAGGUUUAUGGCAACUCUACCCACCACAACAAAUUAUACGUACACAAUAAUAGUUUUAUAAUGGUAUAUUUCACAUUGCAGUGUACGCGCAAGCUGCAUCCCUUAUUUUGUGCGCAAACGUGUUCGAGACCAGAUUAGAAAUCAUUUCGUCCGGAAUGAAAAUAAUAACCAGUUGUGGCCUGCAGCCCUUAUAAUAUACACAUUAUACACGUCUUGUGUAUUAUAAACAUUCAUAGUAUAAUAUACGCGCAGCAUCAACACGAAACAUUAUCACGGGUGGGACUUUCUCUGCAGUCACUCUUGCUUUCGUCGCGAUCACGAUAGAAAGUUCUAAAUGCGCUACCGACCCGACCCGACCCCGACACACACACACACGCGCGUAGAUUGUAUAUAAUAAUAUAUAAUAUAUAUAUAUAUUGUAAUGUAUAGCAAUAUAAGCAGCCGGACGUUUCAUCACACGUUUCGAACUUGACCUUACGACCGCAGAGGCGCUUGGCUCGUAAUAAUGCGUUACAUAUAUAUAUAGCAUAACCUAUGUUGUAUUGUUCGCACGAUAGCCAAUAAAUCGACGUCGAAAAAUACACAUAAUAAUAUAAUAAGUGUGUUUGUGUGUGUGGAUUAUAUUGUGUCGCUACGCUAUUGUUUCCGCUGCGGUUUGUUCUACGGCGGUGGUGUUUAUAGGAUAAGAUUAUAGAAUAGCUCCAAAAGCAAAUAAAAUAAUAAAUAUUCCACAGCCCGUAGUCGACGAACCGUAGUCCGAUUGAGUUUGCGUGAAAAACGCGCCGCGGUGAGUGUAAUACAAUAUGCAAAAUAUUAUGUGGUUUAUGUAGGUACAAAAUAUAUAAUAAUUGUCGAUAUUUUGUCACUCGGUGUCGUUUUCAAAUCGAUGUCUUCAUCAAUUCAUAUAUUAUAACCCGCAGCUAUAAAGUGUGUACAGGCAGGCCGACAAUAAUCAAGAUGUAAAUCCAUCCAACGUUCUAAACUGCUCUAUCUGGGAUGAGAAAAAAAACAAAAAACCCGAUACGGAUAAUAUACUAAUAUACACACGAUUGGUGGAUGCUUUUAUAAAAUAUACGAUACAAUAUACAGGUAUAUGUUUAUAGGUAACCGGGUAUCAGUAAAUUACGAUGAUGGAUGAUGUAAUUACAAUAUAUGUUCGAGGGAAAGGACGCUGACAAUGAUGACGGCCAAGAAUACACGAUGAAAUAGGAUUGUGUUUCACGGCGUGUAAGCAUACGGACAAACGUGGAGAUUUCUCCGAUCAACGCUUGUUCGGGUGAUGUACCAAGCCCGUAAUAGGUAGGUAUGUUGAGAAAAAAAUUGUUAAUGGUCACUCGGAACGAUCAAGAGGAGACCGAUAUUCAUUAUAUUUUACUACACACACCCACGUAUAACUAACCACACAUGGAAUUCGACGAAAGUUAGACAACAUUUUAUGCUUUGACCUUCUUUAACGGAUCUCUUGGUUUUGAAUCAUUGACCAAUAAUUAUUGUUUAUUUAUUUUGUUAUAAGUACAAUUUUAUUUAUAAUACUGUGUUCAAGGUGAAAACAACCACUAUAUUUUAUCCAAUAAUAAUAAACGGUUGAUAAUGCCAUGAAGUGAACCUACUUAAAAAAGUUGAGGUGCCAAGUAACUACCAACAUUUUAUAACAUACAAUAAUUAUUGUUAAUGUAUAUAUUUUGCACACAUUUUUAAACACUUAUCAUCUAUAGUUAUCUCUAAAUUAGUUACUGCGAUAUAAAAAAUUUAGUCAGUUGAUAAAAUAUACUUAUCAUAAAUUAUUUUAAAACUAAUUCAUUACAUAGUGUUUUAAAUGUGAUAUUUGUGUGAAAUAAA